Molecule: ribosomal RNA, 484 nt
Filed under: uncultured bacterium
Lineage: Bacteria
Description: partial 16S ribosomal RNA
Rfam family: Bacterial small subunit ribosomal RNA
Source: RNAcentral
AUUGAACGCUGGCGGAAUGCUUUACACAUGCAAGUCGAACGGCAGCACGGGGGCAACCCUGGUGGCGAGUGGCGAACGGGUGAGUAAUACAUCGGAACGUGCCCGGUCGUGGGGGAUAACGUAGCGAAAGUUACGCUAAUACCGCAUACGAUCUGAGGAUGAAAGCGGGGGACCUUCGGGCCUCGCGCGAUCGGAGCGGCCGAUGUCAGAUUAGGUAGUUGGUGGGGUAAAGGCCUACCAAGCCGACGAUCUGUAGCUGGUCUGAGAGGACGACCAGCCACACUGGGACUGAGACACGGCCCAGACUCCUACGGGAGGCAGCAGUGGGGAAUUUUGGACAAAGGGCGCAAGCCUGAUCCAGCCAUUCCGCGUGCAGGACGAAGGCCUUCGGGUUGUAAACUGCUUUUGUAUGGAACGAAAAGGCUCUGGCUAAUACCUGGGGCUCAUGACGGUACCGGAAGAAUAAGCACCGGCUAACUACGUG